This 437-nucleotide ribosomal RNA is filed under the name uncultured bacterium. RNAcentral's name for it is "partial 16S ribosomal RNA". It matches the Rfam family "Bacterial small subunit ribosomal RNA", at positions 29 to 507 of the family's 1533-position model. The record is from RNAcentral.
AGCGAACGCUGGCGGCAGGCUUAACACAUGCAAGUCGAGCGGGCAUCCUUGUGGUGUCAGCGGCAGACGGGUGAGUAACGCGUGGGAACGUGCCCUUCGGUUCGGAAUAACUCAGGGAAACUUUAGCUAAUACCGGAUACGUGCGAGAGCAGAAAGGUUUGUCUGCCGAAGGAUCGGCCCGCGUCUGAUUUGCUAGUUGGUGAGGUUAUGGCUCACCAAGGCGACGAUCAGUAGCUGGUCUGAGAGGAUGACCAGCCACACUGGGACUGAGACACGGCCCAGACUCCUACGCGAGGGAGCAGUGGGGAAUAUUGGACAAUGGGGGCAACCCUGAUCCAGCCAUGCCGGGUGAGUGAUGACGGCGGUAGGGUUGUAAAGCUCUUCUCUCCGGGACGAUAAUGACGGUACCGGAGGAAUAAGCCCCGGCUAACUUCGUG